CCAAUAGCGUAUAUUAAAGUUGUUGCAGUUAAAAAGCUCGUAGUUGAAUUUCGGGAUCAAUAUAUCGGUCGUGCCUUGGUACGUACUGGUAUCAUUGGUUUCUCCUUUCUGACGAACCAUGAUGUCAUUAAUUUGGUGUUAUGGGAAGUUAGGACUGUUACUUUGAAAAAAUUAGAGUGUUUAAAGCAGGCUUUAGCUUG
RNAcentral lists this ribosomal RNA (200 nucleotides) under uncultured Glomus. RNAcentral describes it as "partial small subunit ribosomal RNA". It matches the Rfam family "Eukaryotic small subunit ribosomal RNA", at positions 591 to 797 of the family's 1831-position model. The record is from RNAcentral. Lineage: Eukaryota; Fungi; Glomeromycota; Glomeromycetes; Glomerales; Glomeraceae.